AACGAACGCUGGCGGCAUGCCUAACACAUGCAAGUCGAACGAGACCUUCGGGUCUAUUGGCGCACGGGUGCGUAACGCGUGGGAACCUGCCCUUAGGUUCGGAAUAACUCCCCGAAAUGGGUGCUAAUACCGGAUAAUUUCUUCGGACCAAAGAUUUAUCGCCUUUGGAUGGGCCCGCGUUGGAUUAGCUAGUUGGUAGGGUAAAAGCCUACCAAGGCGACGAUACAUAGCUGGUCUGAGAGGAUGAUCAGCCACACUGGGACUGAGACACGGCCCAGAAUACUACGGGAGGCAGCAGUGGGGAAUAUUGGAAAAUGGGCGAAAGCAUGAUACAGCAAUGCCGCGUGAGUGAUGAAGGCCUUAGGGUUGUAAAGCUCUUUUACCCGGGAUGAUAAUGACAGUACCGGGAGAAUAAGCUCCGGCUAACUCCGUG
Molecule: ribosomal RNA, 433 nt
Filed under: uncultured bacterium
Lineage: Bacteria
Description: partial 16S ribosomal RNA
Rfam family: Bacterial small subunit ribosomal RNA
Source: RNAcentral